GACGAACGCUGGCGGCGUGCUUAACACAUGCAAGUCGAACGGAAAGGCCCUGCUUUUGUGGGGUGCUCGAGUGGCGAACGGGUGAGUAACACGUGAGUAACCUGCCCUUGACUUUGGGAUAACUUCAGGAAACUGGGGCUAAUACCGGAUAGGAGCUCCUGCUGCAUGGUGGGGGUUGGAAAGUUUUGGCGGUUGGGGAUGGACUCGCGGCUUAUCAGCUUGUUGGUGGGGUAGUGGCUUACCAAGGCUUUGACGGGUAGCCGGCCUGAGAGGGUGACCGGCCACAUUGGGACUGAGAUACGGCCCAGACUCCUACGGGAGGCAACAGUGGGGAAUAUUGCACAAUGGGCGGAAGCCUGAUGCAGCAACGCCGCGUGCGGGAUGACGGCCUUCGGGUUGUAAACCGCUUUCGCCUGUGACGAAGCGUGAGUGACGGUAAUGGGUAAAGAAGCACCGGCUAACUACGUG
Molecule: ribosomal RNA, 468 nt
Filed under: uncultured bacterium
Lineage: Bacteria
Description: partial 16S ribosomal RNA
Rfam family: Bacterial small subunit ribosomal RNA
Source: RNAcentral